GUUCUUCGUCUCUGGUGCGUUCUUGAACCCCCGUUCCGAUCCAGUCCUGAGCGUUUCGUCUCGAUACGUGUAGUUGUUGAUCUAUGGGGGAAGCUGAGAUCUGGUUUCUUCCAUUAGAUGCGGUCGGAGGAUCUCGUGCCCUCAUUUUGAUCGUCGAAGCCCAAGGACAUGUUCCGUAAGAACGAUUCGGCCUUGUCCUGCUUCUGUCUCUACCUCUUCUUCCUGAAAGAGUGAAGAAGAAUACGGACCACCCUAGCUUUGGAAGGGUGGUUCGAGACCCAGAAGAAGGUCGAGUUGGGUCGAGCGCGGCUGGUCGUGGAGCAGUUCCUUGGCAACAACUUAUAUCUGUAAAUAUAUCUGAGAAAGUCUUUGGUGCUCCUCCUUUGGCAAAUAAAAAAAGAUCACGGAAAAACUUUUCACCGAUGAGAAUAUGGAUGGAUGUGCAGUGUCAUGCAUCUAUCUUGGGUUAUUCAACACCAAUGUAGAAGCUGCAAGGUCCUCUUGAACAUGGAUUAGGGCUUAUGACAAGGCUUCCAUUAAAGUAUGAUGGAAGGGAAGCUGUCACCGAUUUUGAGCCGAGUACCCAUGAAGCAGAACUAUUUCCCCAGGGUGAAACUGAAGGCCAUGCCGUGGAUCUGAAGUUGAGUACUUCCCAAUCUGUUGUCCAUGGUCCAAAGGGGUAUCAAAAUCUCUUGGGCAUCCAGUUUGAAGCUUCUGAUGUCAACAAAACAACGGUCAGAGUGAGAUAGAAGGAGCCUGCGGUUCGUCUGCAAGCUCCUGAAGUCUGGAGUUGGUCAACAACUGGGUCUCCCUCCCAAUUUCCGCUGUUCACUUCUGCAGCAUCAUCAGGAUUCUCGAGGGACGGCUACUCUUUCUCCCCUGCACCACCCCUGCUUCAUUCUCCAUCGUAUAGAUUCACCGAUUCACUGUCUUGGGAAUUCAGAUGAACGGACACCAGAAUCAGUCGGGUGAGGUUUGGAGCAGUCAAGUGAUUCUUCUCUCUGGAAUUUGGGUUUGCCGCUCAAGAUCAGAACAUUCCAUGCUCACCUCGGAGGCCGCAACUCGUCCCUGUCGGUGGAGGAGAUGGCGGAGGAGGUCAUGGAAGACAGCGAGUCACUGGCGAUCUGCCUCUUGACGUCGCCUCUACGUGGGUAGGGGGUUCCUCUCCCGGUCGCCGGAGUCUUGGUGGCUGCCCAUCGAUCUCUCUUUGCAAGACAGCAAAAGCGAGAGCGGAUGGAUGGUGUUCGUGAAUGAGACGAAUGGAGUGGUCACAUAGUACAUGCACCUUCAAAGAGAAAUGGAUUGCACGAUAACAAAAGAUGCAAACGAUGUGGCUGUUUGAGGUCAUCCAAAUGAGGCUGUGAUGAUGAUGCACGCAUUAGUGACAGCCGACAUGCACACAAACUGGGGGAUGAGAUUUGGGGCAGAAGGAACAAAAGGAAAAGUCCCACAGUAUCAUCAUCAUCCAAUUCUGUGCGCACCAACCAUUCCGAACAGAACUAACUGCAUGGUUAAUGAAGAAGGAAGCUGUGGCGAUCCCCUGCCCGGACCUGUUUCUCUUUUCUAUGCACAAGAGGUGUUGCCGUCGUGGAGAUUUGGGUGGAUCGAGAGCCUUGGGUAUGCUGAAUUCGAUGCUAAUCACCCUCGUCGCUGGAAGCGUAGCCGCUCGCCGACGGGGUGGCGUCUGCGGAGAAGGAGCGAUCGCCGUCGAAUUUGUGCUCCUCCCUGUUCUCCAGGGCCUUUGGGAUGAUUGCUCGGAGCAAAUCCCCAAAGAUUCUUGCUUUCACCUGGCCUCGCUUCGGCAGCGGCCUUCCCUUCCUCUUGUUCUCAGGGACUAGCGAUUCCAUUGCCGGAAGAUGGGUGAGCGGAGCAGAGGACUGCAACGAGACCUGCAGCGGGAAAGAAGCUCGAGAAAGAAUAGUUGGCUGGAAUCCGUGAAAAAGUGUCGAUGGAGAGAGGAUCGGAGCUGUCGAUCUCUUAUAUACUGCUGAAGUCUGGCUGUCGGUUGAAGAUGAUCAGCUGCCUUGUGGCGCAAGCUUGCAGCUCGACGUGAGCAAGUGGAGCCUUGAAGCUUCCAAUAGAAGUAGAUGGAGUUUGUCUUAUGCGACAAGUCUCAGUCCAACCCUGUGACUCAUUCGCACAACAAGGUGAUGGAGGUUCGUGUUCUCUACAAGAAACUGCAUCCUCUGUGUGUCAGCCGAUAUGUCAGCUACUUUGACGUAACGAUCGUGGCAGAUCGUCCCCAUCAAACUCGAACCAAUUGAAUCUUGACAAUUUCUUCAAGACUGACUGAAUGAAUGCACUAAUCGACCGCAAUGAAUGCAUCGCCGUCGGUCUCCGGAGACGACUUCUUCAAACGGAGCUCAAAAUUUGACACCUUCUCGACUUCAGCUGUCCGUGGAUGAGUCCACUCAGGAGUUUGCUUCCCGUACGCGAUGAAUCUGCUCACGCACGCACUCUGCUCAUGGACGAGAGACGGCGUGCAAAGCGAGAACGACAUGAUCGAUGAGUAUGCGGAGAAGAAGAGGCCAUCGAGAUUCCACUAUUUUCUGGUCUCGCAUGGUCGUUUGGUGAUUCCAUUUCACGCAUGACACUUUGGGAACUGUACUUGAUGUUCCACAAGGAUCACAUGCUCCUUCCGGUGUCGUCUCUCCCGGCCCGUGAACGAAGAGAGCUAGAAGAUUGCCAUUGCAGCUUGGCAUCGCCCAAUCUUUCUGGUCCACCAAGUCCAAAAUCACAUUAUGGUUGCCCUGUUCCGGGAAACAGGACACCCUGCAAAGGUGGAUGAACUGCUGUCGAAGGAGGUCGUGAUGAGUAAACCAUGGCAUUCCUCCGAGUGCGUGGCCCCUAUGCUUCGACUCCAAGUCAAGCCAGUAAUGAAAGAUCCUUAUGCAGCAGCACC
This is a non-coding RNA of Musa acuminata subsp. malaccensis (wild Malaysian banana), 2902 nucleotides long. The record is from RefSeq and is a predicted model, not a curated record. NCBI's taxonomy places the organism in Eukaryota, Viridiplantae, Streptophyta, Magnoliopsida, Zingiberales, Musaceae.